This 326-nucleotide unclassified non-coding RNA is filed under the name Hevea brasiliensis (rubber tree). Lineage: Eukaryota; Viridiplantae; Streptophyta; Magnoliopsida; Malpighiales; Euphorbiaceae. The record is from RNAcentral.
UCCACAACUCUUUUAUCUAUCAAUUUCAAUAAUUUAUCGUAUUCUAAGAAAUAUCUUUCGCUAGCAAACUAUUCCAAAAAGACUAGUCAUUAACAUAUAAAGAUUUAUUUUUAUAUGAGGGAUAGCAGGAAGGCAAACAAUGCUGGCAUUAACAUAAAAGUAUGCAGACCCCGGGUCAAACAAUACAUAUACAUAUCUUAGUUAAAAAUUGAGAAAGUACCAGCAACAAUGUCAGAAGUCUCAGCCUCUUCCCUCUGCCGUAUAGUGUAUAUUCUAGCCGAAGCAUCACCUUGUUCUGGCUAAUUCACAGUACUCUGACUUCCAGG